GUCAUUCCGGAUUCGACUGCACCGCCCAGUUCUGCUUCAAACAGAUCAUUGGUUCUGCUCUUAUUCUUUGCCAUCUAGUCCUGAUUCCUGACUACAGGUCUUCAGGAUGACCAGGAACUACAGGACGGUUUGAGCUACACUCUGCAGGACGUUGGUCCUCCAUGACCAGGACUGGACACCACUGUCCUAAAUAAACCCAAGGAGAGGCGCUCAGGCACAGGUCACUUCAUCUUUUGCUGUAUAAAAAAGCGCACAAAAAGCGGCCCGGCCACAGCUUCCGAAGUGGAAACUCCUGUUAAAUCAUGGCUCCAUAAUGCAAGAGACUGGGAUGGUGGAAGGAGCAGAAGAACCAGAAGACUGGAGAUCAGGCAAAGAUCUACUGGUACC
Long non-coding RNA from Megalobrama amblycephala (Wuchang bream), 387 nucleotides. RefSeq lists it as uncharacterized. The record is from RefSeq and is a predicted model, not a curated record. Lineage: Eukaryota; Metazoa; Chordata; Actinopteri; Cypriniformes; Xenocyprididae. The transcript is spliced from 5 exons.